ACAUGGUCAACAAAGUGGAUUAAUAGUAGUACAAAUUGAUAAAACAAAAAAAAAAUACUGUAUUUGGAAUUUAGUAACACAACAUUUUCUAAAAUACUACAAGCAACAUGCAAAAUGAUGAACACAAAUAAAAACCUAUAAGAAAUUUUGUAAUGAAAGAUAGCUAUUUUAUCAUUGUUAUUUGAACAGCUAAAAUGAAAUAUUUUCUAAGAGAAAAUGAAGUAUUUUCUUUGUUAAUGGAUAGUAAAAAAUUUACAUUAAUUUGUUGACAUUUUUUCAUGUUACUCUC
This 289-nucleotide long non-coding RNA is filed under the name Lathyrus oleraceus (garden pea). RNAcentral describes it as "Pisum sativum (pea) long non-coding RNA (PSAT_LNC003631)". Lineage: Eukaryota; Viridiplantae; Streptophyta; Magnoliopsida; Fabales; Fabaceae. The record is from RNAcentral.